Molecule: long non-coding RNA, 115 nt
Organism: Haliotis rubra (blacklip abalone)
Lineage: Eukaryota; Metazoa; Mollusca; Gastropoda; Lepetellida; Haliotidae
Exons: 3
Source: RefSeq, a predicted model, not a curated record
UGCAAGAGUUUUGUCUAGCAAAGGCAUAAAGAACAGUCACUAUGAGGACCCAGACAAUUAUGAUCAUGGCGGUAGUGCUAGUAUUUGCCUGCUUGUGGCAAAUUGAUCAGAAGAG